GAUGAACGCUGGCGGCGUGCCUAAUACAUGCAAGUCGAGCGAACGGACGAGAAGCUUGCUUCUCUGAUGUUAGCGGCGGACGGGUGAGUAACACGUGGAUAACCUACCUAUAAGACUGGGAUAACUUCGGGAAACCGGAGCUAAUACCGGAUAAUAUUUUGAACCGCAUGGUUCAAAAGUGAAAGACGGUCUUGCUGUCACUUAUAGAUGGAUCCGCGCUGCAUUAGCUAGUUGGUAAGGUAACGGCUUACCAAGGCAACGAUGCAUAGCCGACCUGAGAGGGUGAUCGGCCACACUGGAACUGAGACACGGCCCAGACCCCUAGGGGAGGCAGCAGUAGGGAAUCUUCCGAAAUGGGCGAAAGCCUGACGGAGCAACGCCGCGUGAGUGAUGAAGGUUUUCGGAUCGUAAAACUCUUUUAUUAGGGAAGAACAAAUGUGUAAGUAACUGUGCACAUUUUGGCGGUCCCUAAUCAGAAAGCCACGGCUAACUACGU
Molecule: ribosomal RNA, 496 nt
Filed under: uncultured bacterium
Lineage: Bacteria
Description: partial 16S ribosomal RNA
Rfam family: Bacterial small subunit ribosomal RNA
Source: RNAcentral